UCUGGGCGUAAGCGUGCGCAGGCGGUUGUGUAAGACAGAUGUGAAAUCCCCGGGCUCAACCUGGGAACUGCAUUUGUGACUGCAUGGCUAGAGUGCGGCAGAGGGGGAUGGAAUUCCGCGUGUAGCAGUGAAAUGCGUAGAUAUGCGGAGGAACACCGAUGGCGAAGGCAGCCCCCUGGACUUGUACUGACGCUCAUGCACGAAAGCGUGGGGAGCAAACAGGAUUAGAUACCCUGGUAGUCCACGCCCUAAACGAUGUCAACUGGUUGUUGGGAAUUCAUUUUCUCAGUAACGAAGCUAACGCGUGAAGUUGACCGCCUGGGGAGUACGGCCGCCAGGUUU
Molecule: ribosomal RNA, 342 nt
Filed under: uncultured bacterium
Lineage: Bacteria
Description: bacterial SSU rRNA
Rfam family: Bacterial small subunit ribosomal RNA
Source: RNAcentral